AUGCUACUCCCUCCGUCCCAUAUUAAGUGACUUUCUAUUACAUGUAUCUGGACGCUUUUUAAACAUAGAUACAUCCAUAUUUGGGAAAAUUUGAGUCACUUAAUAUGAGACGGAGGGAGUAUAAU
Molecule: non-coding RNA, 125 nt
Organism: Brachypodium distachyon (stiff brome)
Lineage: Eukaryota; Viridiplantae; Streptophyta; Magnoliopsida; Poales; Poaceae
Source: Rfam